GCACAAGAGAGCUGAUGAGACUGGCUGGCUCUGUUUCUGAUGAGCUAGCAGGAAGACCUGACGGUAGGUUUUUGCUAACUGUCCCUGGGGAUUAGAGGGAGCAGCAAGAAAGAAACCCAGCCAUAGCCUGCAGAAGGAGGGAUCUUGGCGGAGCUGUUUCAUACCAAUAUGAAUACAGUUCCUUUUUAAGCAUUUUUAGUUGUAAUGCCAAAGUCCAGCAAUUGCAAAUUUUAUUUAGUUUAUCUGAAAAAUAAUCAGACUGUGUUUUUUUUUAGAAAAAAAAAAUGUUAAGGGCUAUGUCAUCAGUUUGUUUAUACUUUAGUCAAAGCCAGUUCACCUUUUAAGAGAGAAACUAACUGCUAAAGCCAGCAGAUUGUGGAAUUCCUUCCUCUUUCCUGACGCCAUGAGAUCCAGUUUAUUAAAGGUAUUUUUGGUGGCAAACAGUAAGUAAAACAGAGUAUUUAUUAAGCUUGUACCCUACCCUGAUGAUUUUU
Myotis daubentonii (Daubenton's bat) is the source of this 494-nucleotide long non-coding RNA. RefSeq lists it as uncharacterized. NCBI's taxonomy places the organism in Eukaryota, Metazoa, Chordata, Mammalia, Chiroptera, Vespertilionidae. The record is from RefSeq and is a predicted model, not a curated record. The transcript is spliced from 2 exons.